UUCUCAGACUUGACUUCCAGACGUGAUCGGUGCGGCUGCAAGCCUACAAAGGAGGAUGUCAAAAGAUGCUUUAUGUUGGAAUUUGAUAGAGCUGCAUUCAUAAUAGCAUCAACAGCUACAGAGGAGGAAAUGCUAAACUGGUACCGUGAACACAUUGUGUGGGGUGAUAAAGACCUAAAAUUGAAACUCUUGAGAAAGGGCAUUUUAACUCGCAUAUAUUCUCCCAUGGCCAUAAUACAAGCUUUAAGGGAGUCUCGGGUAUUCAGCUCUAUUAUUGCGUCUGCUUCAACAACUAUUUCAAAAGACAAGUUUUUAG
Molecule: unclassified non-coding RNA, 316 nt
Filed under: Hevea brasiliensis (rubber tree)
Lineage: Eukaryota; Viridiplantae; Streptophyta; Magnoliopsida; Malpighiales; Euphorbiaceae
Source: RNAcentral